Molecule: ribosomal RNA, 484 nt
Filed under: uncultured bacterium
Lineage: Bacteria
Description: partial 16S ribosomal RNA
Rfam family: Bacterial small subunit ribosomal RNA
Source: RNAcentral
AUUGAACGCUGGCGGAAUGCUUUACACAUGCAAGUCGAACGGCAGCACGGGGGCAACCCUGGUGGCGAGUGGCGAACGGGUGAGUAAUACAUCGGAACGUGCCCAGUCGUGGGGGAUAACUACGCGAAAGCGUAGCUAAUACCGCAUACGAACUCUGGUUGAAAGCGGGGGAUCGCAAGACCUCGCGCGAUUGGAGCGGCCGAUGGCAGAUUAGGUAGUUGGUGAGGUAAAGGCUCACCAAGCCGACGAUCUGUAGCUGGUCUGAGAGGACGACCAGCCACACUGGGACUGAGACACGGCCCAGACUCCUACGGGAGGCAGCAGUGGGGAAUUUUGGACAAUGGGCGCAAGCCUGAUCCAGCCAUUCCGCGUGCAGGAUGAAGGCCCUCGGGUUGUAAACUGCUUUUGUACGGAACGAAACGGUCCUGGUUAAUACCCGGGGCUAAUGACGGUACCGGAAGAAUAAGCACCGGCUAACUACGUG